CCAGCCAUAAACAGACAGUCAAACCAACAAACUGUCCGCCAGAGAACUACUAGCGAAAAGCUUAAAACUCAAAGGACUUGACGGUGUCCCAUAUCAACCUAGAGGAGCCUGUCCUACAAUCGAUAACCCACGCUUCACCCUACCUGCUCUCGCCCUAAGCCUAUAUACCGCCGUCUCCAGCCUACCUAAUGAUAGCCCGCCAGUAGGCACCAUCGCCACCCACACCCACGUCAGGUCAAGGUGUAGCUAAUGAGCAGGCAGAGAUGGGCUACAUUUUCUCUCAAGAAGAAAAAACCCACCGCGCAAUGAAACCACGCAAACAAGGAGGAUUUAGCAGUAAGCCUGAUAUAAACCACGCCAGACUGAACCCUGCUCUGGGACG
This 382-nucleotide ribosomal RNA is filed under the name Stenodactylus doriae. RNAcentral describes it as "partial 12S ribosomal RNA". It matches the Rfam family "Bacterial small subunit ribosomal RNA", at positions 796 to 1381 of the family's 1533-position model. Lineage: Eukaryota; Metazoa; Chordata; Lepidosauria; Squamata; Gekkonidae. The record is from RNAcentral.